GGUCAAGUGAAGAAGCGCAUACGGUGGGAUGCCUUGGCAGUCAGAGGCGAUGAAAGACGUGGUAGCCUGCGAAAAGCUUCGGGGAGUCGGCAAACAGACUUUGAUCCGGAGAUCUCUGAAUGGGGGAACCCACCUAGGAUAACCUAGGUAUCUUGUACUGAAUCCAUAGGUGCAAGAGGCGAACCAGGGGAACUGAAACAUCUAAGUACCCUGAGGAAAAGAAAUCAACCGAGAUUCCCUUAGUAGUGGCGAGCGAACGGGGAUUAGCCCUUAAGCUUCAUUGAUUUUAGCGGAACGCUCUGGAAAGUGCGGCCAUAGUGGGUGAUAGCCCCGUACGCGAAAGGAUCUUUGAAGUGAAAUCGAGUAGGACGGAGCACGAGAAACUUUGUCUGAACAUGGGGGGACCAUCCUCCAAGGCUAAAUACUACUGACUGACCGAUAGUGAACCAGUACCGUGAGGGAAAGGCGAAAAGAACCCCGGAGAGGGGAGUGAAAUAGAACCUGAAACCGUAUGCGUACAAGCAGUGGGAGCCUACUUGUUAGGUGACUGCGUACCUUUUGUAUAAUGGGUCAGCGACUUAUAUUCAGUGGCAAGCUUAACCGUAUAGGGUAGGCGUAGCGAAAGCGAGUCUUAAUAGGGCGUUUAGUCGCUGGGUAUAGACCCGAAACCGGGCGAUCUAUCCAUGAGCAGGUUGAAGGUUAGGUAACACUGACUGGAGGACCGAACCCACUCCCGUUGAAAAGGUAGGGGAUGACUUGUGGAUCGGAGUGAAAGGCUAAUCAAGCUCGGAGAUAGCUGGUUCUCCUCGAAAGCUAUUUAGGUAGCGCCUCAUGUAUCACUCUGGGGGGUAGAGCACUGUUUCGGCUAGGGGGUCAUCCCGACUUACCAAACCGAUGCAAACUCCGAAUACCCAGAAGUGCCGAGCAUGGGAGACACACGGCGGGUGCUAACGUCCGUCGUGAAAAGGGAAACAACCCAGACCGCCAGCUAAGGUCCCAAAGUUGUGGUUAAGUGGUAAACGAUGUGGGAAGGCUUAGACAGCUAGGAGGUUGGCUUAGAAGCAGCCACCCUUUAAAGAAAGCGUAAUAGCUCACUAGUCGAGUCGGCCUGCGCGGAAGAUGUAACGGGGCUCAAACCACACACCGAAGCUGCGGGUGUCACGUAAGUGACGCGGUAGAGGAGCGUUCUGUAAGCCUGUGAAGGUGAGUUGAGAAGCUUGCUGGAGGUAUCAGAAGUGCGAAUGCUGACAUGAGUAACGACAAUGGGUGUGAAAAACACCCACGCCGAAAGACCAAGGGUUCCUGCGCAACGUUAAUCGACGCAGGGUUAGUCGGUUCCUAAGGCGAGGCUGAAAAGCGUAGUCGAUGGGAAACAGGUUAAUAUUCCUGUACUUCUGGUUACUGCGAUGGAGGGACGGAGAAGGCUAGGCCAGCUUGGCGUUGGUUGUCCAAGUUUAAGGUGGUAGGCUGAAAUCUUAGGUAAAUCCGGGGUUUCAAGGCCGAGAGCUGAUGACGAGUCGUCUUUUAGAUGACGAAGUGGUUGAUGCCAUGCUUCCAAGAAAAGCUUCUAAGCUUCAGGUAACCAGGAACCGUACCCCAAACCGACACAGGUGGUCGGGUAGAGAAUACCAAGGCGCUUGAGAGAACUCGGGUGAAGGAACUAGGCAAAAUGGCACCGUAACUUCGGGAGAAGGUGCGCCGGCUAGGGUGAAGGAUUUACUCCGUAAGCUCUGGCUGGUCGAAGAUACCAGGCCGCUGCGACUGUUUAUUAAAAACACAGCACUCUGCAAACACGAAAGUGGACGUAUAGGGUGUGACGCCUGCCCGGUGCCGGAAGGUUAAUUGAUGGGGUUAGCGCAAGCGAAGCUCUUGAUCGAAGCCCCGGUAAACGGCGGCCGUAACUAUAACGGUCCUAAGGUAGCGAAAUUCCUUGUCGGGUAAGUUCCGACCUGCACGAAUGGCGUAACGAUGGCGGCGCUGUCUCCACCCGAGACUCAGUGAAAUUGAAAUCGCUGUGAAGAUGCAGUGUAUCCGCGGCUAGACGGAAAGACCCCGUGAACCUUUACUGUAGCUUUGCACUGGACUUUGAGCCUGCUUGUGUAGGAUAGGUGGGAGGCUUUGAAGCGUGGACGCCAGUUCGCGUGGAGCCAUCCUUGAAAUACCACCCUGGCAUGCUUGAGGUUCUAACUCUGGUCCGUAAUCCGGAUCGAGGACAGUGUAUGGUGGGCAGUUUGACUGGGGCGGUCUCCUCCUAAAGAGUAACGGAGGAGUACGAAGGUGCGCUCAGACCGGUCGGAAAUCGGUCGUAGAGUAUAAAGGCAAAAGCGCGCUUGACUGCGAGACAGACACGUCGAGCAGGUACGAAAGUAGGUCUUAGUGAUCCGGUGGUUCUGUAUGGAAGGGCCAUCGCUCAACGGAUAAAAGGUACUCCGGGGAUAACAGGCUGAUACCGCCCAAGAGUUCAUAUCGACGGCGGUGUUUGGCACCUCGAUGUCGGCUCAUCACAUCCUGGGGCUGAAGCCGGUCCCAAGGGUAUGGCUGUUCGCCAUUUAAAGUGGUACGCGAGCUGGGUUUAGAACGUCGUGAGACAGUUCGGUCCCUAUCUGCCGUGGACGUUUGAGAUUUGAGAGGGGCUGCUCCUAGUACGAGAGGACCGGAGUGGACGAACCUCUGGUGUUCCGGUUGUCACGCCAGUGGCAUUGCCGGGUAGCUAUGUUCGGAAAAGAUAACCGCUGAAAGCAUCUAAGCGGGAAACUUGCCUCAAGAUGAGAUCUCACUGGGAACUUGAUUCCCCUGAAGGGCCGUCGAAGACUACGACGUUGAUAGGCUGGGUGUGUAAGCGUUGUGAGGCGUUGAGCUAACCAGUACUAAUUGCCCGUGAGGCUUGACCAU
This 2892-nucleotide ribosomal RNA is filed under the name Pseudomonas aeruginosa. Its description in RNAcentral is "23S ribosomal RNA". It matches the Rfam family "Bacterial large subunit ribosomal RNA". The record is from RNAcentral. Lineage: Bacteria; Pseudomonadati; Pseudomonadota; Gammaproteobacteria; Pseudomonadales; Pseudomonadaceae.